GACGAACGCUGGCGGCGUGCUUAACACAUGCAAGUCGAACGGAAAGGCCCUGCUUUUGUGGGGUGCUCGAGUGGCGAACGGGUGAGUAACACGUGAGUAACCUGCCCUUGACUUUGGGGUAACUUCAGGAAACUGGGGCUAAUACCGGAUAGGAGCUCCUGCUGCAUGGUGGGGGUUGGAAAGUUUCGGCGGUUGGGGAUGGACUCGCGGCUUAUCAGCUUGUUGGUGGGGUAGUGGCUUACCAAGGCUUUGACGGGUAGCCGGCCUGAGAGGGUGACCGGCCACAUUGGGACUGAGAUACGGCCCAGACUCCUACGGGAGGCAGCAGUGGGGAAUAUUGCACAAUGGGCGGAAGCCUGAUGCAGCAACGCCGCGUGCGGGAUGACGGCCUUCGGGUUGUAAACCGCUUUCGCCCGUGACGAAGCGUGAGUGACGGUAAUGGGUAAAGAAGCACCGGCUAACUACGUG
RNAcentral lists this ribosomal RNA (468 nucleotides) under uncultured bacterium. RNAcentral describes it as "partial 16S ribosomal RNA". It matches the Rfam family "Bacterial small subunit ribosomal RNA", at positions 28 to 507 of the family's 1533-position model. The record is from RNAcentral.